UCCGAUAUGGUGUAACGGCUAGCAUCAAUCUCUUUCAAAUGGGAUCCAUUUAACAGAUUAGAUCGGGGUUCGAUUCCCCGUAUCGGAG
Molecule: non-coding RNA, 88 nt
Organism: Talaromyces proteolyticus
Lineage: Eukaryota; Fungi; Ascomycota; Eurotiomycetes; Eurotiales; Trichocomaceae
Source: the annotation of a RefSeq genome assembly